AAUGUGCGAAAGCACGACAAGGUUAAUCCGAGUGAUUUCUGCUAAAGAAAUCUUUUGUCAGCCAUAAAACCACUGGCGAAUAAGGGGUGGGCAAGUUCUGGUGUCAGCCGCCGCGGUAAAACCAGCACCUCAAGUGGUCAGGAUGAUUAUUGGGCCUAAAGCAUCCGUAGCCGGCUUUGUAAGUUUUCGGUUAAAUCCAUGUGCUCAACGCAUGGGCUGCCGAAAAUACUGCAUGGCUAGGGAGUGGGAGAGGUAGACGGUACUCGGUAGGAAGGGGUAAAAUCCUUUGAUCUAUUGAUGACCACCUGUGGCGAAGGCGGUCUACCAGAACACGUUCGACGGUGAGGGAUGAAAGCUGGGGGAGCAAACCGGAUUAGAUACCCGGGUAGUCCCAGCUGUAAACGAUGCAGACUCGAUGAUGCAUUGGCAUAAUAGCCAAUGCAGUGUCGCAGGGAAGCCGUUAAGUCUGCCGCCUGGGAAGUACGUACGCAAGUAUGAAACUUAAAGGAAUUGGCGGGGGAGCACCACAAGGGGUGAAGCCUGCGGUUCAAUUGGAGUCAACGCCAGAAAUCUUACCCGGAGAGACAGCAGAAUGAAGUCAGCGAGCU
This 608-nucleotide ribosomal RNA is filed under the name crenarchaeote SCGC AAA001-B14. RNAcentral describes it as "SSU rRNA". It matches the Rfam family "Archaeal small subunit ribosomal RNA", at positions 354 to 968 of the family's 1478-position model. The record is from RNAcentral. Lineage: Archaea; Thermoproteati; Thermoproteota.